GAUGAACGCUGACAGAAUGCUUAACACAUGCAAGUCAUUGGCGAAGCUGCGCUUGCGCAGUCUAGCCAAGGCGGACGGGUGAGUAACGCGUAAGGAACUUGCCCUGCAGACAGGGAUAACAGACGGAAACGACUGAUAACACCUGGUAUUGUCAGGCUGGCGCAUGCCGGCCUGAUGAAAGGAGACGCUGCAGGAGAGCCUUGCGUCCUAUUAGCUAGUUGGUGGGGUAACGGCCCACCAAGGCGAUGAUAGGUAGCCGGCCUGAGAGGGUGAACGGCCACAAGGGGACUGAGAUACGGCCCUUACUCCUACGGGAGGCAGGAGUGGGGAAUAUUGGACAAUGGGGGCAACCCUGAUCCAGCAAUUCUGUGUGCACGAAGAAGGUUUUCGGAUUGUAAAGUGCUUUCAGCAGGGAAGAAGAAAGUGACGGUACCUGCAGAAGAAGCGACGGCUAAAUACGUG
This 462-nucleotide ribosomal RNA is filed under the name uncultured bacterium. RNAcentral's name for it is "partial 16S ribosomal RNA". It matches the Rfam family "Bacterial small subunit ribosomal RNA", at positions 28 to 507 of the family's 1533-position model. The record is from RNAcentral.